AGUUGGAAAUGAUCUGAUCUCCAUCCGCCGCUCCGCACCGAGGGGCGUUUUUCUUCCACGGACACAUGAACAAUCACUCAGUUGGUCCCCAGACAGGCGCAAGCUGCACAACUUGAUAAAGUGACAGGGAUGGAAACACAACAUGAAGAGCAUCCAUCUUCCUCCAAGUCCCAAGUAGCCACUAGAGCAAGUUUCACAAUUAUAGGAGUACAAAAGUUAUACUGAGCUGCUUCCCAGUAUUGUGGUGGCACCCUGGCGACGUAAGCACAAUGUGCGGACAGCCAGACGCAGUGGGUCAGUGGUUCUCUGGCCCAGAAUGAAGAGUCGUGGGAGGUCCAGAGACCCUGGUUCUGUUUUUGG
This is a long non-coding RNA of Oreochromis niloticus (Nile tilapia), 360 nucleotides long. RefSeq lists it as uncharacterized. The record is from RefSeq and is a predicted model, not a curated record. NCBI's taxonomy places the organism in Eukaryota, Metazoa, Chordata, Actinopteri, Cichliformes, Cichlidae. The transcript has 3 exons.